UACAGAGGUCCCAAGCGUUGUUCGGAUUCACUGGGCGUAAAGGGUGCGUAGGUGGCAUGGCAAGUUUGAUGUGAAAGCUCAGGGCUCAACCCUGAAAUGGCAUUGAAUACUGCUGUGCUGGAGGUUUGGAGGGGGGACUGGAAUUCUCGGUGUAGCAGUGAAAUGCGUAGAUAUCGAGAGGAACACCAGUGGCGAAGGCGAGUCCCUGGACAACACCUGACACUGAGGCACGAAAGCUAGGGGAGCAAACAGG
This 253-nucleotide ribosomal RNA is filed under the name uncultured bacterium. Its description in RNAcentral is "partial 16S ribosomal RNA". It matches the Rfam family "Bacterial small subunit ribosomal RNA", at positions 524 to 776 of the family's 1533-position model. The record is from RNAcentral.